CGUUGACAUCAAGAGCGAUGUGUGAUGGUAAAACUGGGCAUACAAAAUACGUUUAAUUCCGCAUCAUGUCUGCGGAUUGUUAGAGCAUUAGAGGAAGGGAAUGCAAGUGAGUACCUGAUACGGAUAAUAAAAUCCUACCUAUCUCAGAAAGAAAUAGUAGCAGGAAGCGGAGACAGAUUUGAAAGAACAUGUGGUGUACCUUAAAACUCGAUACUGUACCGAUAUUGUGGAACGUCUACGAUAAAAUCUUAAGGACGCAGAUGGAAGGAGGGGUAAAUAUGAUAGCGUAUGCCGACGAUUUGGCGGUGGUUAUUACUGUAAGGACAAAAGCGAUUGUAGAAGAAAAAGCCAGUUAUGCGGUAGAGAGAGUGGUAGAACAGUUAAAUACCAUGGGAGUCCGGAUUGCUACCCACAAGACAGAAAUUGUGGUACUGCAGGAGAGAAGGAAAGCUCGAAAAAUGAACGUAAAGGUAGGGAUUGAGGGAGUGACAACAUCUGUAACCUUGACACAGACCUGAGGAUGACUUGUCAUGUUAGAAAAGGGGUGGAGAAAGAAAUUUUCACGACCAAACGAAAAAAAAACUGAAAGAGAGAGGAAAGGCGAACAUGUGGUAAUGCAGGACUGAGAUGAGAGGAACUACUGAGAAAUGGUGAAGGGUACAGAUAGUGAUGUAAAAAGUAAUAUUACCGGUAAUUUAAGUAUAUUACGUAAUAUUACCUGCUAAGUUACCGUAAUAUUACCCGUAAGGUAACCCUCUAAAUACAGAUUAAAAUAUUGUUCAACAUCGGCUAUAAGAGACAUCUAUCGUCCAAGAGUUCAGUUACAAUUGCUCUAUGAUGUCUGUAAUAUCAAGAAAAUCGGGGAAUACCUAGGGACUUGGAUUAAAUAUUUUGAAACAAAUGCUCCAAUUGAAAGGUUUUUGGAAAUAGAAGUUGCUAUCUCGACAAUUAUUAUCAACAUCGAUACUUCAAGAUGAGCAGGACACAAUUAAAGGUAUUUUAAUGUCAAGAAUGAAUAAAUCGAUAAAACCGAUACAUAUAGCUGCUAAUUUGCUAGAACCAGCAAGUAGAGGACGAUAUUUAAGCCCAGAACAAAAUUUGAUUGCCACAGAAUUUAUUUUUGAAAUAACUAAAAGUCAUCCGAGGCAUAAUGAUCCUGAAAACAGUAACUACUAAACUUGCCGAAUAUACAAAGUGGAAAGCGGUUUAUUUGCAAAAGACUUGGUCAUCUCUAGUGAAAAAUGAAAUGGCGUUACGUGGUGGUCAGGAAUCUGUUCCAGUAAAAGCUUGAGCUCACUAGCUUCGGAUAUAUUAAACUUGCCAGAAGCUACGGAAAGAACUUUCAGCACGUUGGUAUAAUCAAUAAAAUUUUAGAAUUUAGUACUUUAUUUAUAGACAAGGAAAAAAGACAGUCAAAGAAGAAAUCGACUGACCGUUGAAAGAGCUGAGGUGCCAUCUCCUCCACGUCCAGAGAGGAAGAAACGCGAACGGAUGGGAGAAAGUUUGAAGUUUGAAAGGGAAGCAGAGAGGCAUCAAUAAAGAAGAAGAACGAGCGGAGGUCCAUCCUCCCGUUGUCCAGCCGAGCAACGAGCAGGAAAAAGAUGAACGAGAAUUUGAGGGGAAGAAGGAAGAAGUGACAGUAUGGCUGUAGCUUGUAAAUGCCUGUUGGCGGUUCCGGAAUAGACGAGGACAGGGAUUUUUAGUGGGUCGGACACCCAUGCAUGGACUCUAACCCAAUACUAUCUAACCGCUCAAGAUCGUCAGGCCGGAUGACUGUUAGCAGAUUUUCACCGAUCUCAUAAUAAAAAGCAUAAAUAAAAUAAACCAAACCAACAAAUCAUAGAAAAUCCUCAGCAUUCACAAUUUCUGUCACUGUUCUUCAUAUAAUCUUUGCAUGAGUCCACUGAAAGACCUGUUUCAUAAUCUCAUCUCUAGAAGAGCAAAUUGUGUGGUAAUUUUGUUUAACGUAUCUUAUUGGUGCUGCUACUUCAUGCAUCACGUUUCGCUAUGAUUUACGUCCAUGUAUGACUAAUACCACUUUUCAAGUUGACUUUUUGAAAAGAAGAUGAAAGGUAAAAAGGUUCUUGUAUUAAGCGAAUUUUCGAGGUUUGCUACUGUUUAUGUUAUUUCCUUUAUAAGAAAGUUAUGAUUGGGAUUUGUUGCAAAAAUUAUGGUUAAACUCUGGUUAUAUUCAAUAAUAAUGGCUUUUUAGCCAUUAACGGGUGCUACCAAUUCAGUAUUUACGGAUCUAAAAAAUCUAAAAUUCCUUAUAAAAAAAAGUAGUGUUAUCAACCCAGAAACUUAUCUACAAACUCAUUAUAUCAAAAUUUGUUUAUAAAUAACUGUUAUUUUGUUAAUCAUAUCUUUUGGAUUGAACUUGCCAUAAAGUAAUAAACAAUGGAAAUUAUAAAACAAGAUAUUACAGAGUAAUAAAGAAAUAUAUUUUUUAACUUCUCGAUAAAAUUGGGUUAUAAA
Non-coding RNA from Onthophagus taurus, 2475 nucleotides. The record is from RefSeq and is a predicted model, not a curated record. Lineage: Eukaryota; Metazoa; Arthropoda; Insecta; Coleoptera; Scarabaeidae.